GACGAACGCUGGCGGCGUGCUUAACACAUGCAAGUCGAGCGGAAAGGCCCCCACCUUGGUGGGGGUGCUCGAGUGGCGAACGGGUGAGUAACACGUGGGUGAUCUGCCCUGUACUUCGGGAUAAGCUUGGGAAACUGGGUCUAAUACCGGAUAGGACCAUGGUUUAGUGUCUCAUGGUGGAAAAAUUAUUGUUUUGGUGCAGGAUGAGCUCGCGGCCUAUCAGCUUGUUGGUGGGGUAAUGGCCUACCAAGGCGUCGACGGGUAGCCGGCCUGAGAGGGUGGACGGCCACAUUGGGACUGAGAUACGGCCCAGACUCCUACGGGAGGCAGCAGUGGGGAAUAUUGCACAAUGGGCGCAAGCCUGAUGCAGCGACGCCGCGUGGGGGAUGACGGCCUUCGGGUUGUAAACUCCUUUCGUUAGGGACGAAGCCACACCUUUUUUGGGUGUGGUGACGGUACCUUUGUUAAGAAGCACCGGCUAACUACGUG
This 489-nucleotide ribosomal RNA is filed under the name uncultured bacterium. RNAcentral describes it as "partial 16S ribosomal RNA". It matches the Rfam family "Bacterial small subunit ribosomal RNA", at positions 28 to 507 of the family's 1533-position model. The record is from RNAcentral.